Molecule: long non-coding RNA, 531 nt
Organism: Camelus dromedarius (Arabian camel)
Lineage: Eukaryota; Metazoa; Chordata; Mammalia; Artiodactyla; Camelidae
Exons: 3
Source: RefSeq, a predicted model, not a curated record
UUGUGCUGUAUACCAGAAAUUGACACGUUGUAACUGACUGUACUUCAAUAAGAAAAAAUUAUAAACCAUUGCUGAUACAUUAUUAUUAACUUAAGUCCAUACUGUAUUCGGAUUUCCUUCAUUUUCAUCUAACCCCUCUUUUCUCCUCCAGGAUACCACAUUACAUUGGAUUGUCAUGUCUCCUCUGGCUCUUCUUGGCUCAGUAAAUGAGAGUUUGUGUUGCACCACAUCCCCACCAGCAUUUGGUGUUGUCAGUGUUCUGGAUUUUGGCCAUUCUAAUAGGACUUCCAGUACCGUGUUGAAUAGAAGUGGCAAGAGGAGGCAUCCUUGUCUUGUUCCUGAUCUUAGAGGAAAAACUCGGAGCUUUUCAUUGGUGAGUACGAUACUUGUGGGCAUGUUGUGAUGGCCUUUAUUAUGUUGAGGUAAUUUCCAUCUAUGCCUGGUUUAUUGAAUGUUUUUAUUAUGAAUAUUCAAGUUUUUCAGUUGCAUUUUCUGCAUCUGUUGAUAUGAUCAUAUAAUUUUUAUCUUCCG